UUAAAUAAUAGAUAGAACUACAUACCUUGUUGUUGUAAAUGUUCCUUGAAACCUUGUGAGCCUAGCACCCUAAGUGUCAUGCCUCAAAUGCUUCACACAACACCAAAUGCUAUGGAGUAAACUUGGAGAGAAAGUGUAACACACUAAAAUCGGCUCUAGCCCUCUUGUUUCUUGGUGUAACCGAUUUUUGGGAGAACACAUGAGCUUUAUAUAGUGUUGACACAUCUAGGGUUACACCAUGUAAACGCUAAUGUGUCAUGACUCUUCAUUUCCAUGACCCAUGGGUUUGUAACUCCCAUGGAGCCUCCAUGGAGCAUCCAAUGGGUUUAACCCAACUUGAUUAUCCAUGGAGCCUCUUAGCCCACUAUAUAAGUUAUGGAUGAUUUACAUAAUCAACCCAUAUAUUUAAUUAGUUAUCUUUUGAUCACUUAAUUAAUUCUUGAAUUAAUUCUUGAUCAAACUAAUUAAAUAAUAUUAUUAAUAUAUUAGAACUUAUAAUAUAUUAAUAAACCACAUGUGUUAUUUCUCUCAUUUAGUCUAUCCAAUUGCAUGGUGCCAUGCAACCCAAAUGGACCAUGCCGGGUCGGGUCAAGUACAUACCAGAAAUAGUUAUGGACUUAGACACCUUAUCCAACAGUCUCCCACUUGGAUAAGUCUAAUAACUAUAACUGCAAGUAUGACUUCAGGAACCGAUCGACAAUCGUAGCUCUUUUCAAGGUUUCUCGGAACUGAGAAGAUGAUGGUACGCCAUUUCAGAUAAGGGAUCAUAUAAUCCUCUGUUCUAGAUAUCAGCCAGACAAAUACAUGGAACAAUGUCUUACUUAUUGUCCAGCAGUUUGUUUCUCGAUUUCCGAUUUGUUUGACAAAGAACUUAAUUGAACACAUCAACUUAGUUCUGACCGGGCCCGGUACAUAGGUCAAAACAAAAUCAUCGAGGGGCCUAGAUAUCAGCUUCUAAUCCAAGAAGGAACAGAUAAACUUCGACUCAUAUGCUUGUUCUACUACUUGUUAAAUUACACACAAACGCACGUUUUAUAACAUCGAGUUACCAAUGCGCUUUCGCACGUUCAAUGAAUAACUAAGUCAUAGUUAACAAAUCAUAUCUCUAGGUUUGAAGACUUAUAUGAUAUUACCGUCUCACGAUCACUCGAGAUAAAAUUCCAUGAAGUGAUUCCAGUGAGCGUGGGUUGAGUCCAAUGCUCAGAACUUAUGAGCACUCAUGAUUGUUGUAGCCUUGUCCAACACCUUAGACCUCUACAACCCAUCAUGACAGUCUUGAUUCAUACCUACUUCCGACAUAUGACCGACUGUGGAGGUUUGAAUAAUAUGUUAUACCAAACAAAAUUAUUCUGGAAGUCAAAACAUGCAAAAGAAAUAUAGUAAACGAUUGACAAGAGAUAGCAACACUUUACUCAUAAAUAAAACACCUUUUAUUCAUCAUCAAAUGUCAAUUACACUUUACAAAUUUCUGGGUUAUCUAACUACUAAAACUUAUAUCAUCCUUCAGCCCUAUGCUCCGAGCAUGCUGGAGAUGCUUAACCCUACUCAGUCCCUUCGUGAGGGGAUCUGCUGGGUUCUCAUCCGAUGAUACCCUCUUUGCCACGAGGAGUCCUUCUUCGAUCCGAUGUCUGAUGAAAUGGUAUUUUCUGUCGAUGUGUCUGGAUCUCCCGUGAUCCCUUGGUUCCUUGGCUAAGGCAACAGCACUUUCACUAUCACAGAAAAUUUCCAUUGGCUCUUUAAUAGCUGGUACAACUCCAAGGUCUCCAAUGAAGUUCUUCAGCCAUAUCGCCUCCUUUGCUGCUUCACUAGCUGCAAUAUACUCUGAUUCACAAGUAGAAUCUGCCACUGUCUCUUGCUUGGAACUUUUCCAAGAAAUUGCUCCUCCGUUUAAGGUAAAGACCCAGCCCGACUGAGAGCGGAAAUUAUCCCUAUCAGUCUGGAAGCUAGCAUCACUAUACCCUACAACUCUCAAGUCAUCACUCCCACCGAGGGUAAGGACCCAGUCCUUAGUCCUCCGCAGGUACUUGAGAAUGUUCUUUACCGCUGUCCAGUGAGCCUUACCAGGAUUCCCCUGAUACCUGCUAACCAUGCUUAAAGCAAAGGCUACAUCAGGACGAGUACAGGUCAUAGCAUACAUGAUCGAGCCUACUGCCGAAGCAUAAGGUAUCCGACUCAUUUCUGCUAUCUCAUCCUCAGUACUCGGGCUCUGAGUCUUACUCAGUCUAGUGUUACUCUGGAUGGGUAACUCUCCUUUCUUGGAAUCUUGCAUGCUGAAUCUCUUCAGUACCUUAUCCAAGUAUGUACUCUGACUAAGUCCAAUUAGUCUUUUACUCCGGUUUCUCAAGAUCCUUAUCCCUAGAAUAUAGGCAACUUCUCCUAGGCCCUUCAUAGCAAAACACUUCCCAAGCCAGGACUCUGCAGAGUUGGGAUGUCAUUUCCUAUGCGUAGUAUGUCAUCCACAUACAAAACCAAAAAGUUAACUAUACUCCCACUAGCCUUGACAUAUACACAAGAUUCAUCUUCACUCCUAGAGAAGCCAAAUUCUUUGACCUUCUCAUCAAAGCAAAGAUUCCAUCUGCGAGGUGCUUGCUUUAAUCCAUAGAUGGAUUUCUCAAGCUUACACACUCUAUUAGGGUACUCUGUGCUGACAAAACCCUCUGGCUGAUUCAUGUAAACAUCCUCAGCCAACUUUCCAUUAAGGAAAGCGGUUUUGACAUCCAUUUGCCAUAUUUCAUAGUCAUGAAAUGCAGCUAUGGCUAACAAUACCCUAAUGGACUUAAUCUUGGCUACUGGAGAAAAGGUCUCAUCAUAAUCCACUCUAGGAGUUUGAGAGAAGCCCUUUGCUACCAGUCGAGCCUUAUAAGUGUGUACAUUACCAUCCAUGUCGGUCUUCUUCUUGAAGAUCCAUUUGCACCCUACAGUCUUACGACCUGGUACAUUCUCAACCAAGUCCCAGACCUGAUUGUCAUACAUGGAUUGUAUCUCGCUAUCCAUUGCCUCUUUCCAUUUAGCAGACUCAGGGCCUGCCAUGGCUUCCGCAUAGCUGUUAGGUUCAUCUAGACCUACUAGUGUCUCAUCACUAAUAAGUGUCUCACCUUCCGCAAUAAUAUAAAAGCCAUAGUAAUGCUCAGGUACAUUCCUAACCCUUGUGGAACGCCUCAGAGGUACAACUGGAGCUAUAAUCGGAUCAACAGGAGGUUCCUCCUCAAGUUGACUGCUACGGUUUGUGGUUCCUUUACCACUUGAAUCUUGAAGUUCUUCAAGAUCAAUUAGCCUCCCACUGUCUCCUUGGCUUAUAAAUUCUCUCUCUCGAAAGAUAGCCCUCCUUGCUACAAAGACCACAUUCUCACUAGGUCUGUAGAAGAGGUAACCAAAGGAUUUUUGUGGGUAGCCGAUGAAAAUACACUUCUCGCUUCGAGGUUCGAGCUUGUCAUGAGUCUCGCGUCUCAUGAAAGCCUCGCAACCCCAAACCUUGAUGUGGGCUAGACUAGGAACUUUUCCAGUCCACAUCUCGUGAGGUGUUUUGGCAACCUUCUUUGUAGGGACCAGAUUAAGGAUAUGGGUGGCAGUCUCUAAGGCAUACCCCCAAAAUGAGAUUGGUAGCGUAGCUCGACUCAUCAUGGAACGAACCAUGUCCAAAAAGGUUCGAUUACGCCUCUCAGCUACACCAUUCAACUGUGGUGUCCUGGGAGGUGUCAAUUGUGAGACAAUCCCACAGUCCCUAAGAUAGUCGAGGAACUCUGAACUAAGAUACUCACCACCUCGAUCGGAUCGAAGCAUCUUAAUGUUCAUGCCCAAUUGAUUCUCGACUUCCUGUUUAAAUUCCUUAAACUUUUCGAAAGUCUCUGACUUAUGCUUGAUUAAGUAGACAUAUCCAUAUCUACUAUAAUCAUCCGUAAGGGUCACGUAAUAACGAUUAGCAUCCCUUGUGGCAUGUUUGAAGGGUCCACACACAUCCGUGUGCACAAGAUCCAACAAACCUUCACCCCUCUCACAUGAACCAGUGAAGGGUGACUUUGUCAUUUUUGCAAGCAAGCAUGAUUCGCAACAAUCAUCUGACCUUAGGUCAAAUGACUCCAAGACUCCAUCCUUUUGGAGUUGGCCUAUGCGUUUCUUGCUUAUAUGCCCAAGACGACAACGCCAUAAUGAUGCUUUAUCCAAGUUAUUACUAUUAGAAGAAUCAAUACACUAUACAUUAUUUCCUAAGUUAUCUACAACAGACACAGCUUUAUACACACCAUCACAAGGUAGUGCUUUAAAAUAAAGCACAUUAUUAAGGAAAGCAUUUAUUCCACCAGUUUCAUUAUCAAAAGAAAAGCUAAAACCUUGUUUAUACAAAGCAUGAAGGGAAAUAACAUUUCUUGCCAUUUCUGGCGAGUAAGAACAUUUAUUCAAAUCUAAAGUAAAUCCACUACUAAGCAACAAAGUAUAAACUCCAAUCUUGGUGACAGGUGAAACUUUCCUAUUCCCCAUGAUUAAGUUUAUCUUUCCAUGCUCCACAUUCUCAUUUCUUCUUAGUCCCUGCAUUUCAGAACAAAUAUGAAUACCACAACCAGUAUCAAGGACCCAAGAGUUAGAAUAGAGUGAAUUCUUAGAUGAGAUAGUGUAAAUACCUGCAUGGUUGGGUUUAACUUUCCCAUCCUUCAAAUCUCGUUGGUACUUUGGGCAGUUACACUUCUAAUGCGCCUUUUCGUGGCAGUAGAAGCAUUCAGCCUCUUUGGGAUCAGAAGAAGGUGUAACAAAACCUUUCAUGGUUCCGCUAGAAGAGGAGCCAUCAAGGGUCUUACCCUUGGUACCCUUCGAAGGGCUCUUUCUCUUCUUCCCUCUACCUUUCCCGAUUGCUAGGACAGGUGUUGAGUUUGGAGUAGUAGCAGGAGUGGUCACAACCGACUUACCUUUAAGACCUGAUUCUGCGGUCUUUAGGAGUCCCUGAAGUUUGCUAAGUGUAACUUCCUCCUUAUUCAUGUGGUAUGUCAUGCGGAAUUGAUCAUAACACGAAGGUAAGGAGUGCAAAAUAAUAUCUAUUGCUAACUCCUCAGGGAAGUUCACAUUCAACUUCAUCAAUCGAUCCACAUACCUUUGCAUUUUCUGCAUGUGGCUUGUGAUGGGUUCGCCAUCUUUCAUUCGGGUUGUGAUCAUAGAGGAGAUGAUUUCAUAUCGCUCUUGACGAGCACUAUGAUGGUAGCGGUCCAUCAAAUCCUGGUGCAUCUCAAAAGGAUAGUAGUCCUCAUAGGACUUUUGGAGCUCGGCUGUCAUGGUGGCCAUCAUGAUGCAUGCCACUUUGGUAGCAUCUCUUUCAUGAACCUCAUAUUCAGCAAGCUCCUCAGGAGUAGCAGUUGGCUCAGGCACCUUGAGCUCCUUGUCAAGAACAUAUUCCUUGUUCUCGUAACGAGUGACCAUCCUGAUGUUUCUGAUCCAGUCAGUAAAGUUGGAUCCAUCAAAGAUGACUCUCCCACAAAGGUUCAUGAGAGAGAAGGAGCCAGUAGGGUUUGAGCCAGGAGUAGCAUUGUUGGAAGACAUCUGAAAAGAAGAAAAAAAGUUUAGUUUAGAUAUAGGGAUAGUCCUUAAUAAAACACCCAAAUGUAAUAUUAAGGCUAGGAUCCAAUCACAAUAUAUUAUAACCUAGAAGAGGGAUGCCGUAAUCCAAGUUAUAACAUAUUUGAAAGGUAGGUGAAUGACGAUUCACCAAUUUCCACCAUGAAAACGAAAUAUAAAUUAUUAGGUUUUAUUUGGCUUUUAGAAAUUCCUAGAUUCUUUGAGAUUCAUUGAACUUUUCAAUGGCAUGUUUCAAUCUCGAGUGUGCCCUUCAUGUUUUGUGACUGGGAUACCGAGGAUCACAAAACAAGGUGUGAAGUAACCAUGCAAAUUACUUGGUACCCUUAAUGUUUUUCACUUAAUCGUAGUGCCGGUAAACCACACGCGCUCCUUCCGACCUCAUGAAAAAACUUAAGUCACCCUUUUCUUUCCUUGUUAAUUCCAAGUUAGAGUGUCGGUAAACCACACACGCUCCACCAACGACUUUGACAAGGUGCAAAGUGUAAUUUCAUGGAUUAGCACCUUAUUCACAUUUUCCUAAAGUAACUAAGAUUGGGAAUUUAUAAAACAUUUAGUUACUUUAUAAUAAUCAUUAUACUUUUAAUGAGAAUUUAUAAGUCCUUGUCUUACCCGUUCGGCUAACGACCCUCCACCAGUCAAGCAAGCGGUGGGUGAGAGUGGACACCCAUUAAGUUGCCAUUUUAUAGGCAACAACCUUAUACCCACCUUAUAGACNNNNNNNNNNNNNNNNNNNNNNNNNNNNNNNNNNNNNNNNNNNNNNNNNNNNNNNNNNNNNNNNNNNNNNNNNNNNNNNNNNNNNNNNNNNNNNNNNNNNNNNNNNNNNNNNNNNNNNNNNNNNNNNNNNNNNNNNNNNNNNNNNNNNNNNNNNNNNNNNNNNNNNNNNNNNNNNNNNNNNNNNNNNNNNNNNNNNNNNNNNNNNNNUUUUUAAUCCAAGAGACUUUUGGUUUUCCAUAACUUGAGGACAAGUUAUGGACUCCAUUAAAACACAUUAUGAUCAUGAAUUAAUCUACCACAUAGGUUACAAAUAAUUCCUAUGAUCAUCUAAACAUCAUAAGAACAAGAAUAUGAAUAUGAACACUUUCAAGAAUCAAAAUCACAUUUAAUCUUUGUAAUUUUGAUAACUAGUUGUUGUAAAUGAGUUAGAAAAGACAUUACACCUUCUAAAAUAAGUUUUCAAGUACCAAAACAUUUUAGGGUAAUGAUUCUAAUCCAUUUCCAGCAACACAAGUCGAAAUUCUGCACUCUGUCGACCCUACUCGCCGAGUGCAUAAACCUACUCGCCGAGUAGGUUGAAGAUACACAUGAACUCGUCGAGUCCUCCCCAUGGACUCGCCGAGUCCAUCAGUCAGACAGCAAGAUUUUCGACUUUCUUCAACUUUUUAGCACAAAUAACAAACAAACAAGCCUAGGCUCUGAUACCACUGAUGGGUUUUGAGCAUUCUAACACUUCCUAAGUGUACAUGCAACCCUAAUAACCUUGGAUCUAUGUUUGUCUAAUUAUCAUGCAAUGUUGAUUUCCAAGGCUAUGAUCCUAUCUAGCAUACAUGAGGAACAAUUUUAACUUAAAUAAUAGAUAGAACUACAUACCUUGUUGUUGUAAAUGUUCCUUGAAACCUUGUGAUCCUAGCACCCCAAGUGUGAUGCCUCAAAUGCUUCACACAACACCAAAUGCUAUGGAGUAAACUUGGAGAGAAAGUGUAACACACUAAAAUCGGCUCUAGCCCUCUUGUUUCUUGUCUAACCGAUUUUGGGAGAACACAUGAGCUUUAUAUAGUGUUGACACAUCUAGGGUUACACCAUGUAAACCCUAAUGUGUCAUGACUCUUCAUUUCCAUGACCCAUGGGUUUGUAACUCCCAUGGAGCCUCCAUGGAGCAUCCAAUGGGUUU
This 7444-nucleotide long non-coding RNA is filed under the name Lactuca sativa (garden lettuce). Its description in RNAcentral is "long non-coding RNA (LSAT_LNC001220)". The record is from RNAcentral. Lineage: Eukaryota; Viridiplantae; Streptophyta; Magnoliopsida; Asterales; Asteraceae.